RNAcentral lists this ribosomal RNA (411 nucleotides) under uncultured bacterium. RNAcentral describes it as "bacterial SSU rRNA". It matches the Rfam family "Bacterial small subunit ribosomal RNA", at positions 370 to 772 of the family's 1533-position model. The record is from RNAcentral.
AAUGGGGGAAACCCUGACGCAGCAACGCCGCGUGGGUGAUGAAGGCCUUCGGGUCGUAAAGCCCUGUCGGGAGGGAAGAAAUGAUUGAGGGUUAAUACCUCUUGAUCUUGACGGUACCUCCGAAGGAAGCACCGGCUAACUCCGUGCCAGCAGCCGCGGUAAUACGGAGGGUGCGAGCGUUAUCCGGAUUUACUGGGUUUAAAGGGUGCGUAGGCGGCCCUGCAAGUCAGCGGUGAAAUGUGGCGGCUCAACCGUUUCGCUGCCGCUGAUACUGUGGGGCUUGGAUGCGGUCGAGGCGGGUGGAAUUCGUGGUGUAGCGGUGAAAUGCAUAGAUAUCACGAGUAACGCCGAUAGCGAAGGCAGCUCGCCGGGCCGCGAUCGACGCUGAGGCGCGAAAGCGUGGGGAUCAAA